UUAUAGAGUUAAAGUUUUAUUCUUGCUUGUUAAAUUUAUUUUGAGUUGAUUUUAUAUGUAAAAUAUUUUGAGCAUAAGGGUCUUAAAGGUUGUGUGGUGAAUUUUGCAGUAAAGAGUAUUAUAAAUUAAAAGGGUUUUUGAUCUAGUCAUUUUCGUUAAAUAUUGAUUAAAUAUGUGCCAGCAGUCGCGGUUAUACAUAAAAUAUGAAUAAAUAUUAUUAGUUAAAUUAGUUAUUUUGUUUCUUUUAAUCUUAUUUUGGUUUUUGUUUGGUGAAAUUUUAAAUUUUGUUUAUGAUUAAGGUAGAUAUAAGGAGGCUAUGAAAUCUUUUAUUUAAACUAGGAUUAGAUACCCUAUUAUUAUAGAUAUAAUUUAUUUAAACUUGAGUAGUAUUAGUUAUGGUCUUAAAACUUAAAGAAUUUGGCGGUAUCUUAGUCUGUUCAGAGGAAUCUGUCCUAUAAUCGAUAGUCCGCGUUGAACCUUACUUAAUUUUAUUUAGUAUGUAUACCGCCGUUUAUUGAAAAUCUUUUUAGGGUAUUUUCUUGAUAUUUUAUUUAAUAGCAUUUCAGGUCAAGGUGCAGCUUAUAAUUAAGUGGAGAUGGAUUACAUUUCAAUAAUGAAUAAUGAAUUAUUAGUUGUAAUUUUAAUAUGAAGGUGGAUUUGAUAGUAAUUUUGUAUAUAUUAUUGUUGUGAUUAGAGCUCUAAGAUGUGCACACAUCGCCCGUCACUCUCGUUAAUUAAGAUGAGAUAAGUCGUAACAAAGUAGGUGUACCGGAAGGUGUAGCUAGAAUGAU
This 791-nucleotide non-coding RNA is filed under the name Pycnoscelus nigra. RNAcentral describes it as "12S ribosomal RNA". The stretch from base 382 to 784 matches the Rfam family "Microsporidia small subunit ribosomal RNA", at positions 752 to 1303 of the family's 1311-position model. The record is from RNAcentral. Lineage: Eukaryota; Metazoa; Arthropoda; Insecta; Blattodea; Blaberidae.